RNAcentral lists this non-coding RNA (120 nucleotides) under Listeria monocytogenes serotype 4b str. LL195. RNAcentral describes it as "SAM-I/IV variant riboswitch". The stretch from base 3 to 109 matches the Rfam family "SAM riboswitch aptamer (S box leader)". From Rfam's summary of the family: The SAM riboswitch is found upstream of a number of genes which code for proteins involved in methionine or cysteine biosynthesis in Gram-positive bacteria. The SAM riboswitch acts at the level of transcription termination control. The record is from RNAcentral. Lineage: Bacteria; Bacillati; Bacillota; Bacilli; Caryophanales; Listeriaceae.
UACUCUUAUUAUGAGUGGUAGAGGGACUGGCCCGUUGAAACCCAGCAACCUUUCAAUUCGUUGAAAAGGUGCUAAAUCCUGCGAAGUGUGAUGCUUCGAGAGAUAAGAGAGACUUAAAAA